RNAcentral lists this ribosomal RNA (209 nucleotides) under Bacillus sp. ISL-18. Its description in RNAcentral is "partial 16S ribosomal RNA". It matches the Rfam family "Bacterial small subunit ribosomal RNA", at positions 1 to 206 of the family's 1533-position model. The record is from RNAcentral. Lineage: Bacteria; Bacillati; Bacillota; Bacilli; Caryophanales; Bacillaceae.
UUCAUGGAGAGUUUGAUCCUGGCUCAGGACGAACGCUGGCGGCGUGCCUAAUACAUGCAAGUCGAGCGGACCAACAGGAGCUUGCUCCUGUUGGUUAGCGGCGGACGGGUGAGUAACACGUGGGCAACCUGCCUGUAAGACUGGGAUAACACCGGGAAACCGGUGCUAAUACCGGAUAAUCCUUUUUCUCUCAUGAGGAAAAGUUGAAA